This 222-nucleotide long non-coding RNA is filed under the name Elaeis guineensis (African oil palm). RNAcentral describes it as "long non-coding RNA (EGUI_LNC018154)". Lineage: Eukaryota; Viridiplantae; Streptophyta; Magnoliopsida; Arecales; Arecaceae. The record is from RNAcentral.
GCCUUGAGGAUUUCAUUCGAAAAGUUGGCUUGUAGAACCUCAGCACUGUCAGCAAAAAAGUGUGCUCGGGCCAUUAUCUUGCACCUCUAGAAGCUCAUGGAGAAUGUUGUCUUGCAAGCUUGGCUUAUAAUUUUGGCUCCCCUCCUCGCCAGCGGAUCUAUCCUUUUGAGAGCGUUCACAGUAAGAAGCUCUUAAUCUGAGAGUCGGUGAUAGAGAAGAGCC